GAAUAUUGCGCAAUGGGCGAAAGCCUGACGCAGCGACGCCGCGUGUGGGAUGACGGCCUUCGGGUUGUAAACCACUGUCGGGAGGGACGAAGUUCUGACGGUACCUCCAAAGGAAGCACCGGCUAACUCUGUGCCAGCAGCCGCGGUAAUACAGAGGGUGCGAGCGUUGUCCGGAAUCACUGGGCGUAAAGGGCGCGUAGGCGGCCUGAUAAGUCGGGGGUGAAACGCUGCGGCUCAACCGCAGCACUGCCUUCGAGACUGUCGGGCUUGAGCACGGUAGAGGCUGGUGGAAUUCCCGGUGUAGCGGUGGAAUGCGUAGAGAUCGGGAAGAACAUCGGUGGCGAAGGCGGCCAGCUGGGCCGUUGCUGACGCUGAGGCGCGACAGCGUGGGGAGCAAACAG
Molecule: ribosomal RNA, 401 nt
Filed under: uncultured bacterium
Lineage: Bacteria
Description: bacterial SSU rRNA
Rfam family: Bacterial small subunit ribosomal RNA
Source: RNAcentral